RNAcentral lists this ribosomal RNA (702 nucleotides) under uncultured beta proteobacterium. RNAcentral describes it as "bacterial SSU rRNA". It matches the Rfam family "Bacterial small subunit ribosomal RNA", at positions 79 to 776 of the family's 1533-position model. The record is from RNAcentral. Lineage: Bacteria; Pseudomonadati; Pseudomonadota; Betaproteobacteria.
CUUGCACCUGGUGGCGAGUGGCGAACGGGUGAGUAAUACAUCGGAACAUGUCCUGUAGUGGGGGAUAGCCCGGCGAAAGCCGGAUUAAUACCGCAUACGAUCUACGGAUGAAAGCGGGGGACCUUCGGGCCUCGCGCUAUAGGGUUGGCCGAUGGCUGAUUAGCUAGUUGGUGGGGUAAAGGCCUACCAAGGCGACGAUCAGUAGCUGGUCUGAGAGGACGACCAGCCACACUGGGACUGAGACACGGCCCAGACUCCUACGGGAGGCAGCAGUGGGGAAUUUUGGACAAUGGGCGAAAGCCUGAUCCAGCAAUGCCGCGUGUGUGAAGAAGGCCUUCGGGUUGUAAAGCACUUUUGUCCGGAAAGAAAUCCUUGGUUCUAAUAUAGCCGGGGGAUGACGGUACCGGAAGAAUAAGCACCGGCUAACUACGUGCCAGCAGCCGCGGUAAUACGUAGGGUGCGAGCGUUAAUCGGAAUUACUGGGCGUAAAGCGUGCGCAGGCGGUUUGCUAAGACCGAUGUGAAAUCCCCGGGCUCAACCUGGGAACUGCAUUGGUGACUGGCAGGCCAGAGUAUGGCAGAGGGGGGUAGAAUUCCACGUGUAGCAGUGAAAUGCGUAGAGAUGUGGAGGAAUACCGAUGGCGAAGGCAGCCCCCUGGGCCGAUACUGACGCUCAUGCACGAAAGCGUGGGGAGCAAACAGG